This is an RNA transcript of Zalophus californianus (California sea lion), 1935 nucleotides long. RefSeq lists it as uncharacterized. The record is from RefSeq and is a predicted model, not a curated record. Lineage: Eukaryota; Metazoa; Chordata; Mammalia; Carnivora; Otariidae. The transcript has 3 exons.
CCAGAGGCCUUCGCGGUCUCGCGAGAGCCGGCUGGCCGCGACAGGGGGCUGGCCGCGGGGCCGCGCUUUGUCGGUUUGAGCGCCCGGGGGAAGAUGGCGGUUGGCUCCCCUCCCCCGUCGCCCUGGCCUGGCCGCGUUCCCGCCGAGUUCCCCUCGCGGCGGGUGCGCAGCCUCGCCCGGGGGCGGGGCGGGGGAGGUCCUCUCUGCCGUUUCCGACCCCUGGGGACUCCCGUCGUCGGGCUUCGAGGAGGAAGUUGUUCUUCCUCCCCGCUGCCUAGGCCUGGGCUGACUGUGAUGAUUGGAGGGCCUGGGUCUUUCAUCCCAAGUGCUGUUUUUUAACCUCCGAAGCUGGGGUCCGGGUGUCACUUUGACAGCGUCGUCGUGCGGCGUCCCUGGCCCGCCUGCCUGGCCCUCUCGGGCACCGGGCCUACGGGCCUGGCGGGGCUUGGCACUCCCGUGCACCCGCUUUCUAAGGAGGGAAACCCCAAAUUAGCUCGUGACCCCAGGACCCUCCUGAAAGCGUGCUCUACUGUAACUUUGCUCGAAACAAACAUCUCAUUGGGUUACCAUUCCCGGAGCCCACCACUCCAGUUAAUUGUGACUUCCUUGCUGGGCAAAGCAUAGCCCAAAGCAGGUGUUCCUAAUGAGGUUCCAAUGCCGUCCCUCGGAAGUGACUAUUUAGAAAGAGCCUCUGAUGUUUUCGUUCUGUUGAGGUGAUUACAGAAACUCUCCCAUUCUUUCAGAAACAUAUUUGGUUUAAAAGUUUGAAUUGCGACUGUAAAAGCGCUUCCAGAGUCCAUCACGAAGUUUGAAAACAUAGUCGGCUGUAGUAAAACCGAGAGCCAAAUAAUGGAGCCAUUGGUUCUAACCUGCUCUCUGCGGUCUCUAAUGAGCUCUCACAGUGAAGUGUCCUGGGCAGCAGCGGUGGUUUUCCCAGGCUGGAUAAAGUAGCAUGCUGUUGAGGACAGGAUGAAGUGGGUAAGGGGCUGCCCGAUCGAAUAUCGAAUAUGCAAGAAAGUUGGAACUGAAAGGAGCUGAUAUUAUCAUCACACAGCGUAUACAGUGCCGUAUGAUUCGUAGACCAAGUGCAUAAUGCUUUAUGGGUACCAGGAUUGCCGCCAUAUCAACGGAAAAGGCUAAACAACUUGUGGGCAGGGGACCUGUCCUUGAGGAGAAUAAAGAGUCAGCUACAAGAGGGACAGAGGCCGCGGGAGUGCGUGAGGAAGAGAUGGAGCAUCCGGUGAGGAACCGCUGGAGAUGGAAUGUCUUCCUGCUCCCAGGCAUUUGACUCCAGUCAGACCCUAUAUUAUGUCAUUCCUGGAAAAAGAGAGGGAAUUGCAAAAUUGGAUCGACUCAGUAGAUGAUGGAGAAAUGUGGAUGACCUGGCUUGCCUCAGGUCCUGUCUUCAGGGAAGCAAGGUGGAUGGCUGCUGAGCUGGUCCCUCACCCGCUUGAGGCUAGUGGCAGUAGGAAAGGCAUUUGCUCACACUGAGUGCACUGCUUUGGGAGUGCACCAUGUGUGCAGUAGAAGGUCUGGAAGAGGCCCAGGUGUGGCAUGGCAUGCAGCUGGUUCUCUUGCCUAAGACCCUGUGAUUCCCGAGGAUUCCUGACAGUCAUUUGCCGACCUUUGUGAGAGAGCAUCCUUGCGUGUUCCCACCUCUGCAUUUAGUUGUGAAUCUGGCACAUUUUAUCCACCCAGGUGAAGCAGCCACAUGCCAGCCAGUGAGCUCACUGAUUGCUGAUGAGCUGUGGGUCUUGGCCUUGCAGUGAAGCGCUAGACAGACCCACAGGACCCAGAAACACAGCUUGUUACGUGCUCGGCAGAGUCAGCUGCUACUUUGGGUAGAGUUGCUAUCUAGACCUAAUUUUUUUUUUUAGAUUUUUUUUUUUAAUUUAUUCAUCUGAGACACAGAGAUAGAGAGAGCAUGAGCAGGGA